Molecule: long non-coding RNA, 716 nt
Filed under: Daphnia pulex (common water flea)
Lineage: Eukaryota; Metazoa; Arthropoda; Branchiopoda; Diplostraca; Daphniidae
Description: uncharacterized LOC124199761
Source: RNAcentral
AUGCCGAUCCCUUGCUUCGCGCGCGAGUUUCCCGAUAGGGUUUUUUUUUUGCGGAGUUUGUGUCUUUUUAGCUUUGGGUUCGAUGUUUUUGUUCGAUUAAUCGUUUUGUAGGGAUAAAAAAAAGCCUCAUAACAAUAGGAACGGGAAAAAAAAUUGCUAACCGAAAUGAAUCCGCCCCAAAAAUUAUAAACCUACGCGCGAGUUUGACUCGAAAGUAUGGGGUGUGACAACUUUCUUUAUUGACACGACAGCAAUGUUGGGUCUUGUAUGUUGACAUAUUGAUUCUUUAAUGUGGAGGGAACCCUUAUGAUGCAGUGUCAUUGGCUGAGAAAUCGGCUCUUUUUUUGCAACACAAAUUCCAUCUAUUUAAAUAGCAACCAUGGACGGAUAUCAACCUGAUGUGGAGCUCUCAGAUGAUCCUUAUCAUGAUACCAAGAGACUAAACACAGAGAACAUUCCUUGUGUACUGACUUUGAUGAAGAUUGGAAACCCUUUCCUAGUAGUUCCAACACCUAGAAAUGCUGCAGCUUUUCUGGUAUUAAAAUGAUUACUGCUGUUAGGAAAAUUGCCAGUUGUAAGACAUCAGCUAUGACAUUCUUAAAGAUGGAACUUUUAGAGAAAUAACAUUUAAGCGGUGAUAUAAAUCUUCCAAGAGCUUUACUUAUCUCUUUGUAACCUAGGUUGACUAUAUAAUUUCUUUACCAUCGCCCCUUGUC